This 3263-nucleotide long non-coding RNA is filed under the name Homo sapiens (human). RNAcentral describes it as "non-protein coding ITGA9-AS1:49". Lineage: Eukaryota; Metazoa; Chordata; Mammalia; Primates; Hominidae. The record is from RNAcentral.
GAGCACUUUACAGAUUGACAGCCAAUAAACCACUUCACCCAGUGGAGAAAUAGAGCAAAAACAAGAGGUCUGUAGUUGAAGUUCUAGAAAUACGUAGGUCUUUAAAAUAAUCCUACAUUUCAAUUGCCCUUUUAACCUCUUAUAAAGUCACUGCCAUUGGACAGUGAACUGGAGCCAACAGGAUGAACAAGAAGCAGCGGGAAGAUGUUCAUGAUAUGCUGGAGAGACAGGAGCUUGGUCUGUAUAUGUGACUUGGGAGUUAUGCACCAAUUAUCAUUCUUUUCUUAAAACAACCAUAAGACACAUUUUAAAUGCUUUUGGGAAGCUUGUCAUUCAAAAGAGUUACUCCAGUUAACUCACUUUAAGCAAGAAAUAAUUUUAAGCAACAAAUAAUCUUUUACCAAUUUAACAGUUUUAUAAAGUUGGGGUUUUAUGUAUCAGGAUAUGCUGUAUUUUCAAUCUUGAAUAAUAAUAAUAAUCUUGGGCCAGGCACGAUGGUUAAGGCCUGUAAUCCCAGCACUUUGAGAGACUGAAGUGGGAGGAUCACUUGAGGCUAGGAGGUCAAGUCCAGCCUGGGGAAACAUCCUAUCUCUACAAAAGAUUAAAAAAAAAUUCACCUGUCAUGGUAGCAUGUGCCUGCAGUCCUAGCUGAGGACUAGCUGAGGCAGGAAGAUCACUUGAGCCCAGGAGUUUGAGGCUGCAGUGAGCUAUGAUUGAGCCACUGUACUCCCAUCUGGGUGACAGAGCAAGAUCCUGUCUCUAAAAAUAUUUUUUUAAAUAAAAACAUUAAAAUAAAUAAAAAUAAACUUGGAUAUUAAUAACGAUAAUGAUGAUGAUAAUUGCCAACGUUACAGGCCAAGCAGACGAGGAGUCUGGCACAGGAUGGGCCCCCACGGUUGUAGAAUCAGUGAGAAAAGCCUUACAGACUGAAAGAAGAAUACUUCCAAAAAAAUCCGAAUCCUACGGUGAUUUUUUUUUUUUGAGACAGAGUCUCGCUCUGUUGCCCAGGCUGGAGUGCAAUGGCACGAUCUUGGCUCACUGCAACCUCCACCUCCCAGGUUCAAGCGAUUCUUCUGCCUCAGCCUCCCGAGUAGCUGAGACUACAGGUGCCCACCACCAUGCCAGGCUAAUUUUUGUAUUUUUUAGUAGAGAUGGGGUUUCACCAUGUUGGCCAGGCUGGUCUUGAAUUCCUGACCUUGUGAUAUGCCCACCUCAGCCUCCCAAAGUGCUGGGAUUACAGGCGUGAGCCACUGCGCCCGGCUCCUACAGUGAUUUUAAAAAUCAGAUCCUACAUUUCAAAUGAAAACUUGUUAAGGUCAAAACAGUAAAACCUCAAAUUCCCUUGUCUGGGGCCAGAUCUUGAGGUCAAAAGGAAAAUAAACACGACUGCAGGCCCAGGCAAACCACAAGGCUGGCGCUGCUCCACAUCCUUCGGGAGGCCUGGAGCCAUGUGGGCUCCACUCCCCAAGGGAGGCUGUAGCUGGCUUCAGGGCAACUGAAGCUCUGGGAGCAGCUGGGGCCCCAUCUGGCUUCCAGGUCAACUUUGUUCUAAGCUUUUCUCUGCACCUGGAAGUGCUCCUGGUUUCUGCUGAAAGGGCACAUGGAGAAUGAGCCUUGAAGGCUUCAUAUGACACCCUACAGCUUUCAGCUCUCUUGCCUGCGGCUCUACUGGCCUGGCUGGCCCAUGGGGACAGUAGUCACUGGGACAUGUUCCUUGGCAAAGGGUCACCACUGGCUGCCGGGAUAGAAAAGCAGAAGAACCAGGCUGCAGAGCUGUGCAUGAUUAAGUGCAAAUAACUGAAGUGCAAGCAGCAGCCAUCUGGGUUGAGGAUAAAGGAAACAUCAGAGUGGCUUACAGCCACCAGUGCUGUCACCAGGGCUCUAUGGACAGUGGCAAGUAUGGCACAGGCAAUAAAACUGUCUGCAGCACCAUUUUUGAAGAAUACAAACAGGACAGGUACAUAUGCAGAGGCAUAGUCCUCCAGCCUGGCCUGCGGACACAUUUCAGGAAGGUACUUCUCCAGACGUGGGGUUUUCCAGCCUCCCUUAUGGAAUCAGAGGAUGGCCAGUGGUGCUCUAAGUCAGGCCUGGUCCUCCUCCAACACUGUCCUUUAUAAAGGGAGAGGUACAAAGGGAGAAGAAAGCACUGCAGUGUGAGUCCAACUUGCCCCAAACCAGUUUCCCUCCAGAGCAAACCAGAGAAACCAGAACUAUGCACAGCUCUCUUCAGGUGUGUGAGGGCUGUAACGGCUACAGAUUGAAAAUGGAAAAACAUCCCCUGAUGCCUGCAUCCUCUCAGGUCAGUGUGUUACCUCUGUGCCUAUUUAAAAAUAACCACAGAAUGACUUUUCUAAGGUUAUUCAUUCACACGUGGAUAGGUUUGUACAGAUUAACACAUUUAGUCUUUCUAAAGAAAAAUAAUUGGAAUCUCUGAGGCUAACAUGCAUAUUUAGUUUUAUCUUCACAUGUAAUUAUUUUUACAGCAACUUGUUGGAAGUGGCCUCUCAGCAGCUCUCACCUUAAAAUAAAUCAUAGGAAAUUUGUAUGAUUCUUCAAGAGCCACCGAUGCACUGGUUGAGGUGGUUUUUUAAUGAACCACCUGUGAUAAACUCAUAAUAGCAAAGUGACCUGAGGUUCAAAAGUUGGACCAAAACAAACCGUCAUUUAAACUAGGACUCAUGGGUCAAAUCUGGCCCUCUGCCUGUUUUUAUAAAGUUUUACUGGAUCACAGCCAUGCCCAUUUAUUUGAGUGUUGUCUAUGGCUGCUUUCACAAUACAAUGGCAGAGUUGAACAGUUGCAAGAGACUGUAGGGCCUGCAAAGCCUGAAAUAUUUACCACUGGCCCUUUACAGAAAAGGUUAGCCAACCUUCAUCCAAAGCGAGGUCCCUAGACUGCAGGACUGGCAUCACCUGGGUGCUUGUGGCAACUGGAGAGCCUCAGACUGCACCCCAAAGGAAUCUGUGUUUGAACAAGAUCUCCAGGUGAUUCUGAUGCAAGCUAAAGCAUGAGAAACUUAAAUGGCCAAACAAAAUCCCUGGGGAAUGUGUUAAAAAUGAAGAUGCCGAUUUAUUAAGUCUGGGGUGGAGCCCAGGAUUCUGCAUUUCUAAGAAACUCUCAGGUGAUGCUGAUGCUGCUGGUCCUCGGACCACACUUUGAGUAGCAAGGGUCUGGUAUUUUACCCUGGCAUUAUCUACCAGCAAAAUUACCAAUGGCACUUGCUGGAAAAGUUUCAAAAGGGGCAGCCAGACUAUUACUAAACAGU